CUGCAUGGGGGCCCAGUGCGUGCAAUGGCUGCAAAUAGUAGCUUCCUUGGUAGUGUGAUGCAGCCUGUUUCUUGUAUGGGUUGCUCUAAGAGACCUUGGAGACAAGC
Molecule: small nucleolar RNA, 107 nt
Filed under: Saimiri boliviensis boliviensis (Bolivian squirrel monkey)
Lineage: Eukaryota; Metazoa; Chordata; Mammalia; Primates; Cebidae
Description: Small nucleolar RNA SNORA70 (ENSSBOG00000019130.1)
Rfam family: Small nucleolar RNA SNORA70
About the family: snoRNA U70 seems to be exclusive to mammals and is a member of the H/ACA class of snoRNA which contain H (ANANNA) and ACA box motifs. H/ACA box snoRNAs are involved in the conversion of uridines to pseudouridines (5-ribosyluracil) a constituent of structural RNAs (transfer, ribosomal, small nuclear, and small nucleolar).
Source: Rfam by way of RNAcentral